ACCGUGAACCACCUCGCUCGCCUGCUGAGGUGGGGUAUCGUCCGCGGAUCCUCGGGUUUCUCGCGGAGGGACAGGAGGGGUCGCGAGUGCAGCGGCGAUGGCAGGGGACCUGGCCGCCCUGGCCCAGUGGGCCCCCAGCCAGGGGACAGGGCCCGGGCACUCCGAGGCGGCCUGCCGGCGCGUGCCGGCGCUCCGGUUACUCGUUAUCUGCCCCGUGCGCGGGCCAGGCCGCCGGGAGUCCUGGGUGCGGCACCGCGGGGCCUGGGCGCGUGUCGGAGCGCACUGGGGCCCCCGCGUGGAAGCCCGCCGGCUCCCCGGCUGCCUCGGACCUCGCCUGUAUCAGGAAUCUCGAAAUCUCGCCAGCGCUCUGCCUGACAGAGAGAAACCCGAUCGCGCCCUGACUCAUGCCCAAUCUCCGCGAUCUCCCGCGCACAGGGCCGGCGGUUCCUGGGCGCUGCUCGGCAAGGCAUUGUGCUCCAGGGCCCCGGGGCGCGGGGAGGUGCGCGGACCGGCUGGGCCUGCCGGCUUCCUCCGCGGUGUGCGGUUUGCCACCUCACCGCUACCCCAUCCCUGUCUCUACCCCAAGGCGUACCCUGGGCUGGCGAGGCGAUCUCCUGAGAGAAGAAGUGGGCCCGCGUCUGGGUUUUGCUUUCGGUUGACCUCUCCCGCUGAACGUGUCGGGCCUACAAACAGCUGAAUGAUUCCUUUUAUAUUCAACAGGAAGUAAUUUUAAGCCAAGAGACUGAGACUGUAGUUUUUGUUGACUUCUUUGCCUUGCUUUCCACGACAUUUCCCCUCAAGCACCAACACAUUUUCUGGUGAUACCCAAGAAACAUAUAUCCCAGAUUUCUGCAGCAGAAGAUGAUGAUGAAAGUCUUCUUGGACACUUAAUGAUUG
Chlorocebus sabaeus (green monkey) is the source of this 897-nucleotide non-coding RNA. The record is from RefSeq and is a predicted model, not a curated record. Lineage: Eukaryota; Metazoa; Chordata; Mammalia; Primates; Cercopithecidae.